RNAcentral lists this ribosomal RNA (1387 nucleotides) under Pedobacter cryoconitis. RNAcentral describes it as "bacterial SSU rRNA". It matches the Rfam family "Bacterial small subunit ribosomal RNA". The record is from RNAcentral. Lineage: Bacteria; Pseudomonadati; Bacteroidota; Sphingobacteriia; Sphingobacteriales; Sphingobacteriaceae.
UGCAAGUCGAACGAUACUCUUUAGCUUGCUAGAGAGGAAAGUGGCGCACGGGUGCGUAACGCGUAUGCAACCUACCUUAAUCAGGGGGAUAGCCCGAAGAAAUUCGGAUUAACACCGCAUAAAAUCACAGUAUAGCAUUAUACAAUGAUCAAAUAUUUAUAGGAUUAAGAUGGGCAUGCGUGACAUUAGUUAGUUGGCGGGGUAACGGCCCACCAAGACCACGAUGUCUAGGGGAUCUGAGAGGAUGACCCCCCACACUGGUACUGAGACACGGACCAGACUCCUACGGGAGGCAGCAGUAAGGAAUAUUGGUCAAUGGAGGCAACUCUGAACCAGCCAUGCCGCGUGCAGGAAGACAGCCCUCUGGGUCGUAAACUGCUUUUAUUCGGGAAUAAACCUACUUACGUGUAAGUAGCUGAAUGUACCGAAGGAAUAAGGAUCGGCUAACUCCGUGCCAGCAGCCGCGGUAAUACGGAGGAUCCAAGCGUUAUCCGGAUUUAUUGGGUUUAAAGGGUGCGUAGGCGGCUUUUUAAGUCAGGGGUGAAAGACGGUGGCUCAACCAUCGCAGUGCCCUUGAUACUGAAGAGCUUGAAUGAAUUAGAGGUAGGCGGAAUGUGACAAGUAGCGGUGAAAUGCAUAGAUAUGUCACAGAACACCGAUUGCGAAGGCAGCUUACUAUGAUUUUAUUGACGCUGAGGCACGAAAGCGUGGGGAUCAAACAGGAUUAGAUACCCUGGUAGUCCACGCCCUAAACGAUGAAUACUCGCUGUUAGCGAUACACAGUUAGCGGCUAAGCGAAAGCGUUAAGUAUUCCACCUGGGGAGUACGGUCGCAAGAUUGAAACUCAAAGGAAUUGACGGGGGCCCGCACAAGCGGAGGAGCAUGUGGUUUAAUUCGAUGAUACGCGAGGAACCUUACCCGGGCUUGAAAGUUAGUGAAUCAUUUAGAGAUAGAUGAGUCCGCAAGGACACGAAACUAGGUGCUGCAUGGCUGUCGUCAGCUCGUGCCGUGAGGUGUUGGGUUAAGUCCCGCAACGAGCGCAACCCCUAUGUUUAGUUGCCAGCACGUUAAGGUGGGGACUCUAAACAGACUGCCUGUGCAAACAGAGAGGAAGGAGGGGACGACGUCAAGUCAUCAUGGCCCUUACGUCCGGGGCUACACACGUGCUACAAUGGAUGGUACAGAGGGCAGCAAGCUGGUAACAGCAAGCAAAUCUCCAAAAGCCAUUCACAGUUCGGAUAGAGGUCUGCAACUCGACCUCUUGAAGUUGGAUUCGCUAGUAAUCGUAUAUCAGCAAUGAUACGGUGAAUACGUUCCCGGGCCUUGUACACACCGCCCGUCAAGCCAUGGAAGUUGGGGGUACCUAAAGUAUGUAACCGCAAGGAGC